AGCGAACGCUGGCGGCAGGCCUAACACAUGCAAGUCGAACGAACUCUUCGGAGUUAGUGGCGGACGGGUGAGUAACACGUGGGAACGUGCCUUUAGGUUCGGAAUAACUCAGGGAAACUUGUGCUAAUACCGAAUGUGCCCUUCGGGGGAAAGAUUUAUCGCCUUUAGAGCGGCCCGCGUCUGAUUAGCUAGUUGGUGAGGUAAAGGCUCACCAAGGCGACGAUCAGUAGCUGGUCUGAGAGGAUGAUCAGCCACAUUGGGACUGAGACACGGCCCAAACUCCUACGGGAGGCAGCAGUGGGGAAUAUUGCACAAUGGGCGAAAGCCUGAUGCAGCGACGCCGCGCGAGGGAUGAAGGCCUUCGGGUCGUAAACCUCUUUCAGCAGGGAAGAGGCGCAAGUGACGGUACCUGCAGAAGAAGCACCGGAUAACUACGUGCCAGCAGCCGCGGUAAUACGUAGGGUGCGAGCGUUGUCCGGAAUUAUUGGGCGUAAAGAGCUUGUAGGCGGUUUGUCGCGUCUGCCGUGAAAAUCCGGGGCUCAACCCCGGACUUGCGGUGGGUACGGGCAGACUAGAGUGUGGUAGGGGAGACUGGAAUUCCUGGUGUAGCGGUGAAAUGCGCAGAUAUCAGGAGGAACACCGAUGGCGAAGCCAGGUCUCUGGGCCACUACUGACGCUGAGAAGCGAAAGCGUGGGGAGCGAACAGGAUUAGAUACCCUGGUAGUCCACGCCGUAAACGUUGGGAACUAGGUGUGGGUCUCAUUCCACGAGAUCUGUGCCGCAGCUAACGCAUUAAGUUCCCCGCCUGGGGAGUACGGCCGCACGGCUAAAACUCAAAGGAAUUGACGGGGGCCCGCACAAGCGGCGGAGCAUGUGGAUUAAUUCGAUGCAACGCGAAGAAUCCUUACCAAGGCUUGACAUAUACCGGAACAUCCAGAGAUGGGUGCCCCGCAAGGUCGGUAUACAGGUGGUGCAUGGUUGUCGUCAGCUCGUGUCGUGAGAUGUUGGGUUAAGUCCCGCAACGAGCGCAACCCUCGUUCUAUGUUGCCAGCGCGUGAUGGCGGGGACUCAUAGGAGACUGCCGGGGUCAACUCGGAGGAAGGUGGGGAUGACGUCAAAUCAUCAUGCCCCUUAUGUCUUGGGCUUCACACAUGCUACAAUGGCCGGUACAAAGGGCUGCGAAACCGCGAGGCGGAGCGAAUCCCAAAAAACCGGUCUCAGUUCGGAUUGGGGUCUGCAACUCGACCCCAUGAAGUCGGAGUCGCUAGUAAUCGCAGAUCAGCAACGCUGCGGUGAAUACGUUCCCGGACCUUGUACACACCGCCCGUCAAGUCACGAAAGUCGGUAACACCCGAAGCCGGUGGCCCAACCCCUUGUGGGAGGGAGCCGUCGAAGGUGGGACUGGCGAUUGGGACU
Molecule: ribosomal RNA, 1416 nt
Filed under: uncultured bacterium
Lineage: Bacteria
Description: bacterial SSU rRNA
Rfam family: Bacterial small subunit ribosomal RNA
Source: RNAcentral